This 301-nucleotide ribosomal RNA is filed under the name uncultured bacterium. Its description in RNAcentral is "partial 16S ribosomal RNA". It matches the Rfam family "Bacterial small subunit ribosomal RNA", at positions 509 to 809 of the family's 1533-position model. The record is from RNAcentral.
CAGUCGCCGCGGGAAUACGUAGGUGGCAAGCGUUGUCCGGAAUUAUUGGGCGUAAAGGGCUCGCAGGCGGUUUCUUAAGUCUGAUGUGAAAGCCCCCGGCUCAACCGGGGAGGGUCAUUGGAAACUGGGAAACUUGAGUGCAGAAGAGGAGAGUGGAAUUCCACGUGUAGCGGUGAAAUGCGUAGAGAUGUGGAGGAACACCAGUGGCGAAGGCGACUCUCUGGUCUGUAACUGACGCUGAGGAGCGAAAGCGUGGGGAGCGAACAGGAUUAGAUACCCCAGUAGUCCCUGUCUCUUAUAU